AUUAUACUCCCUCCGUCUAGAAAUAUUUUUCAAAGAAAUAGAUGUAUCUAGAUGUAUUUUAGUUUUAGAUACAUCUGUUUUCUUCCAUUUCCACGACAAGUAAUUCCGAGCAGAGGGAGUAUUUA
Molecule: non-coding RNA, 125 nt
Organism: Triticum aestivum (bread wheat)
Lineage: Eukaryota; Viridiplantae; Streptophyta; Magnoliopsida; Poales; Poaceae
Source: Rfam